RNAcentral lists this long non-coding RNA (1017 nucleotides) under Equus asinus (donkey). Its description in RNAcentral is "lncRNA (ENSEASG00005037285.1)". Lineage: Eukaryota; Metazoa; Chordata; Mammalia; Perissodactyla; Equidae. The record is from RNAcentral.
CUUGUGUAGAAGCUGCAUGUGCUUAAUUCAUUGUGACAUGUUGAGCCAGGAAAUGAGAGAAUUGGGCCGAAUGGCCUCUAAGGACACUUUCCUCUGUGACCAUAUGUGGCAAAGAGAAGCCUGGUUAUUUUCCUCCUGAUCAUAUAACUAGCCUUGAAUGUCCUUUCUCGUUGUUUUUCUGCCUUCGAGGUUGCUCAACUGUGCUCCACACCUUAGCUGAUCCUAAAAUUUUUGCAAGUUGCAUCUUCUGCUGCUGGAGGGCACUGUGGAGAAGUUUGGCAGAAUACCCCAUCCACCCCGCCCCCCUCACCCUGAAGGCUGCUUGCGCUGCUGGAACUGGAAAGUCUAUGUUUCUGAAACAAUUAAAGGAAUAUACAAAAGAAAACAAAGAAGCAUACUGAUCUGAAGACAGUUGGGAGUUUUGUGUUAUCUGUUCUUCUCUGCCUUCAGUAGCCCCAGAGCGACGUCUCUGAGUGAAAAUUCCGACUGAUUACCAGCCACAGCCCCACACUGGGUGACGUCCUUCAGCAAAGCAUCGCGAGUUUUCCUGCUCAUUCCCAUGCCUGAAUGGUUCCUACGCACCACUACUGGGCAGUCAGUGUUGAGGGAAGCCUGCCUUUCUCACUUUCCAAGCCCUCCUGAAUAAAGGGCGCAAGAGGCAGGCUCCUGGCUGGAAGACCAGUGCUGUUUCCAUCACACACUUCCUUCCAUUGGGUGAAUGUGACUUGCACCAGGCAGUGACUUGGUACAUGGAAGAAGGACUGAUUUCAGCACCUACUCCUCUCCUCAGCAACCUUCCUUUGUCCUGACACAUGACAGCCUUGGGUAAGGGAGCUCCCACAAGCGGCAGACAAAGCCACUCAGUGCCAGGUUCCUAGGAAUUUCUUCCAAGGGGGCAGGCCAUUGGCUUGGCUCCAAAGAUUAAAAGGCCUCUAGUCAAAACUACUAGUGUUUGCAGCAUCAAGAUAUACAGGCAAAAAGCUGAGUCUUGAAUCUCAAGUAUGUCGUAAGUCUGUG